CCAAAAAAAAUUCUCUUUCAGUUAUUAUUGAAAUACCCAAACACCAAAUAACUCAUAUUUAUUAGUUAUAUAAAAAAAAAAUAUAUAUAUAUAUAUAAUUAUAAAUUUUAAAUAAUAAGAUAUUUGAGAAACUUAAUUAUAUGGAUUUACUCCCAAUCCCAAUCCCACUGCUGCUGAUGCUUUUAUAUUAUGUCUGUAAUCAAUUUAUAUUUCAUCUAUGACCAAUUGAUAUAUCAACGUUUCGUUUCAUAGUGCAUCCUGGAUAUAUUUGAAUAUUAUAGAACACUUAGCACCCCUUCAUCAUUUUAAUGACGUGAAUAAAUAAUUGUUCCCACAUUAUCUGAUAUAUUAUAUAUAUAGACUAUCAAAAUUUCCCUUAAGUUACCACGAUUGUCAAUACUUUAAAGUUGUCGUCGAACCAGAAGCGUGUAAAAGCUUACAAUAUAGACCUUUAAGUUUUCAUGAAAAUAUGAUUCGCUCUUGAAUGAAAAAGGUAAUAAAGUAGAAGGGGCUUUACAAGAUGUGUGGGACAACUUUUCUUGAACUCCAACUACUUGGGAUCGUGGGAGUUGGAGGGGAAUCUCAUCGGGAGUUGUAUAAGACGUGUACGAAGUAAGAACCACAUCCACAUUCACUUGUUGUCGCUGUUAUAAGAUCCAAGAUUCUUUGACCGGCGCGUGAGAAAAGCAUACCCCUCUAGGCUACAUAUUCGUAUCCAAAAAGAAGAAGAUAUAUAUAGAGUUAUAGAGAACCUCUAUGAUUACUUGAGAAAAUGGUCCCUUUUUGCUUUUUUAAAGAGUGACGAAGCUCAUGCAAAUACUAUUAUAAUUCACCAAAGUGGAAUAAUAUCACAUUCGGUUUCAGUUUAAUUUUUAUUCGUGCUUAAUAGAACAAAAUUUUACGUUUAUGUGUAUGUUCUGGAUACGAGUCGGUUAAAUCAUCCAAAUUAGUUUUUAGCUUGUGUGAAUUUGUUUUUUUUCUUUUUUUGAUGUAUGUGACACUUUCCAAACAUAACAAUGAUUCACCUAAAACAGCUUAAGUUAAGCGUUUUUAUCACUUUCUGAUAAAAAUUUCAGUUCAGUAAAAAUGAAGAUGCAAUAUAUAGUACGCAAUGUUCUGCACUUGUGCGCAUUCUAGAUAUAGGUGGCUAGUUGAUAGCGAACAAUGUGAGAUGGAAGAGAGCUGAGCAUAAGACAUAAACACAAAAUAAAACUCAGAAGUUCACUUAGACCGCUUAAACAGUGAGAGCCCUACGUUAGUUCAAUUAGAAUUGAUUAAUUGUUUACUUUAUUAUGGCUUGAACAAUAAGAGCCGUAAUCUUUAAUUAGUACUAUAAGAGAGACGUAAUUCACAUCACACAUGCGAAAUGUGGUACGGCAUAUCUCAACGAGAUCACAAAUAAAAAUUCGAACAUUAUAAGGACAUGCAUGUUGAGUGAAAAUGACUGAACCAAACGGGAUAAACAAUCUAAGAACGUAAAAUAUCCACAACACAAAAAAUACUAUACUACCAGAGCUGAUCCUGAAGAAAACCAAUAGAAGUUUAGCUAGGUUUUCAGCCUUAAUUCAUUUUUAAGUAGUCUAGUGGUUAAUGUAGUUGCUUUAUGUAAGCAAGGUGAUCUCCAUUUCAUAAACAGAUGUUUUUCUUUUCAAUACUAAUAUGGUCUUUAAUAAAUGGGUUUUAAUUUCUUAGUUGCUUUCUAUCCUUGACAUUUUCAGGACCGGUAAUACAUCUUCACUAGAAUAAUAAUAUAUGUUUCAAAAUCCUGAUCACACGAGAUAGUUACCUAAAUGCUAUAAAAAGUACUCUGACGCUAGACAAACGAGAGAUUCUGCGUUAGGAGAGCAAAACAAACAUUGGGUUAAUUUGCGCUUUUGAAUUAAGCCCACACAUGAUUACGUCUUUGUUCCAAACUUCCAAUUAUGCUUUUGAAUUAAGCCCACACAUAUCACUUAAGUUGUAGUAAGUAGUAACAUAGUUGACCAAUGAACCCAAAUGCUUUUGAAAAUCCCUAAACCCACAUACUUGGAAUGCUUCAUGGCUCUCUAAAAGCAUAAUAUCACUGGGCUUGAGAAAAAAAACCAUUUACCCUCAUCUUUGUUUGCGUCUCCACUUAACGAAUUCAGACGACUUCUAAUGUUACUUUUUGACCAUUUGGUGGAGAGAAUGGAGAUGAGAGGAAAAGUAGUUGCAGCUCUCUCUCUCUCUCUCUGUCUCUCUCUCGUGCUCAACCAUUAGCCCUUGGAGAAGCUUUGUUGCUAUCUAUCCUCCGUUUGUUUUCGUUUCCUUUUCAAUAAAGUUAUCUCCAUUCUACCAACAAACUUUGCUAUAUAAUAAGAACCCCUCCUGUCUUCAUGCAUUCACACAAGAUUACUGAAUUAGAGGUUUCUUCCACAUCUUGACCAGACUCUUGAAGACUUGUCAUGGGACCUGGAGGACCCGGUGGACCAGGAGGGCCCGGACCUGGAUGGGGACCAGGACCAGGAGGACCCGGACCUGGAUGGGGACCAGGAUUUGGAGGAUCAGGGAUCUUUCCACCAAUUGGUGGGUUCUUUGCUGGAUUUUCAGACAUGAUAUGUUCCUGUCUAUCUUGUCUCUGCUGCUGCUGGCUUCUACGAGAUUGCUUUGGAGGGCCGCCACCACCACCACCAGCACCUCCAUUUCUUCCUUCUUAUUAUUGAUCGCUCGCCGGAGUCUUAUCACAAGAAAGAGCGUAGCUUCUCCUGUAGAUGAUAAUUGUUAUCCAUGUUAAUAUUAAGAACUUCAGAGGGAAAAAUCUUAUAUAUAUUUGGUCUCAGAAAUAUUAAACAUUGUCUGGAUUACAUUUUCAAAAAAAUACCAAAAAACAUUGAGAAUAAAAAUAUCAGAGGGAUGAAAU
Long non-coding RNA from Brassica napus (rape), 2878 nucleotides. RefSeq lists it as uncharacterized. The transcript is spliced from 2 exons. The record is from RefSeq and is a predicted model, not a curated record. Lineage: Eukaryota; Viridiplantae; Streptophyta; Magnoliopsida; Brassicales; Brassicaceae.